UUGUCCGCCUGAACUUUUGCUGGUCCAACUUCCUUCUUCUGAGUACUUAUUAGUGGUGUUGCCAUGUUCACAGAGCCAACGACUCCUGUCUCAGGCACUGGAGUUACAACAGCUGGCUGAUCCUGACUAUUUCCUCCUUUAGUGGCUGUUGUGCAAGCAGCCAAUGGGGAUGGCAAUGCCAUUGCAGCACUAACUCCUGCGUUCUGGUCACUGUUGAGA
Molecule: unclassified non-coding RNA, 219 nt
Filed under: Hevea brasiliensis (rubber tree)
Lineage: Eukaryota; Viridiplantae; Streptophyta; Magnoliopsida; Malpighiales; Euphorbiaceae
Source: RNAcentral